UAACGAAUAUUCCGCAAUGCGCGAAAGCCUGACGGAGCAACGCCGCGUGAGGGAUGAAGGCCUCUGGGCUGUAAACCUCUUUUCUCAAGGAAGAAGAUCUGACGGUACUUGAGGAAUAAGCCACGGCUAAUUCCGUGCCAGCAGCCGCGGUAAUACGGGAGUGGCAAGCGUUAUCCGGAAUUAUUGGGCGUAAAGCGUCCGUAGGCGGCUUUUCAAGUCUGCUGUUAAAACGUGGAGCUUAACUCCAUCAAGGCAGUGGAAACUGAUUGGCUUGAGUGUGGUAGGGGCAGAGGGAAUUCCCGGUGUAGCGGUGAAAUGCGUAGAUAUCGGGAAGAACACCAGUGGCGAAGGCGCUCUGCUGGGCCAUAACUGACGCUCAUGGACGAAAGCCAGGGGAGCGGAAGGG
RNAcentral lists this ribosomal RNA (406 nucleotides) under uncultured bacterium. RNAcentral's name for it is "bacterial SSU rRNA". It matches the Rfam family "Bacterial small subunit ribosomal RNA", at positions 355 to 776 of the family's 1533-position model. The record is from RNAcentral.